This 490-nucleotide ribosomal RNA is filed under the name uncultured bacterium. RNAcentral describes it as "partial 16S ribosomal RNA". It matches the Rfam family "Bacterial small subunit ribosomal RNA", at positions 30 to 507 of the family's 1533-position model. The record is from RNAcentral.
AUUGAACGCUGGCGGCAGGCCUAACACAUGCAAGUCGAACGGUAACAGGAAGAAGCUUGCUUCUUUGCUGACGAGUGGCGGACGGGUGAGUAAUGUCUGGGAAACUGCCUGAUGGAGGGGGAUAACUACUGGAAACGGUAGCUAAUACCGCAUAACGUCGCAAGACCAAAGAGGGGGACCUUCGGGCCUCUUGCCAUCGGAUGUGCCCAGAUGGGAUUAGCUAGUAGGUGGGGUAACGGCUCACCUAGGCGACGAUCCCUAGCUGGUCUGAGAGGAUGACCAUCCACACUGGAACUGAGACACGGUCCAGACUCCUACGGGAGGCAGCAGUGGGGAAUAUUGCACAAUGGGCGCAAGCCUGAUGCAGUCAUGCCGCGUGUAUGAAGAAGGCCUUCUGGUUGUAAAGUACUUUCAGCGGGGAGGAAGGGAGUAAAGUUAAUACCUUUGCUCAUUGACGUUACCCGCAGAAGAAGCACCGGCUAACUCCGUG